AGGCAGUGGGGUGUAGUGGAG
Molecule: microRNA, 21 nt
Filed under: Pteropus alecto (black flying fox)
Lineage: Eukaryota; Metazoa; Chordata; Mammalia; Chiroptera; Pteropodidae
Description: pal-miR-885-3p
Gene: pal-miR-885-3p
Source: miRBase by way of RNAcentral